Lolium rigidum is the source of this 858-nucleotide long non-coding RNA. RefSeq lists it as uncharacterized. The record is from RefSeq and is a predicted model, not a curated record. NCBI's taxonomy places the organism in Eukaryota, Viridiplantae, Streptophyta, Magnoliopsida, Poales, Poaceae. The transcript has 4 exons.
UUCCUUGCUCUACUGUGUUCUUUUAACCUUUCUUCAUGUCAAGACCCAGAAACUUCAUUUGUAUUUACACCGUUGCAGCUCCCUGCAUCAUUACACCCAGUCAUUGCGAAUUUUCUUUGCCAUUUUCACAUCGUCACUUGUCCAGGAUCAGGUUGUUGCAUUAACAUUCAAGUUUGGAUACAAGCAGCAUUCUUGAAUCCUCAGUCAUAUGUGGUUAUCCAAGAGCUUAGAAAUGGCACGCCUUAAGUCACACAGGAAAUAAUAGCAGGAAUCUACUUUAUGGAGAUCCUAAGAGGCUUACACCAUAGGGGAUUGCUAGCAAGAUUUAUAUUGGUGAAGCUCAUUGUGUAAGUCAAUGGGGACAUGACUUCUGUCCAGAUUACCAAGGUCUCGUAUGGCUCAAUCAGAACGUCCCUAGAGUCUUAAUCAUGGCUUUAACUGCAACAGCAGCUAGCGAUUUUGGUAAGGGACUAAAGCACUUCCCUCCUGUUACCACCAUAUAAGCAUUUCCCUCCCCGUUGCAACUCUACAGCUUGGUGCAGAAAUCGUUAGCUCUAGUUUUGGAUGGAAUCCUGCUUAUGUUUACAUCCCUUUCUCCUCCAUCAUGCGUAUUGGUCAAAUGCUGGACCAUGCAUCAAUCUUGAACAAUAUCAUGGGGGCAUUUGACCGCCGGUGACAUUACAUCCGAAGACUUAUUUCUUUCUCAAAAGGUGAGAAUUGAUACUACAUGAAAAAAGGUGUUUGAAACAACUUUAUUCAUACAAAUCUCUUAUCUACACGUUUUGUUCUCCCCACCAGUAGAUUGUAGCUACUCAUAGUGGUAACGCUUGUCUUUUCAUGCUUAGCAUUUUCGCAUAU